GACAGAGGGUGCAAACGUUGUUCGGAUUUACUGGGCGUAAAGCGAGUGUAGGCGGUUCGGUAAGUCGGAUGUGAAAGCCCCGGGCUCAACCCGGGAAGUGCACUCGAUACUGCCGAGCUAGAGUAUCGGAGAGGUUGGUGGAAUUCUCGGUGUAGAGGUGAAAUUCGUAGAUAUCGAGAGGAACACCGGUGGCGAAGGCGGCCAACUGGACGAAUACUGACGCUGAGACUCGAAAGCGUGGGGAGCAAACAGG
This 253-nucleotide ribosomal RNA is filed under the name uncultured bacterium. RNAcentral's name for it is "partial 16S ribosomal RNA". It matches the Rfam family "Bacterial small subunit ribosomal RNA", at positions 524 to 776 of the family's 1533-position model. The record is from RNAcentral.